RNAcentral lists this transfer RNA (73 nucleotides) under Paramuricea clavata. It matches the Rfam family "tRNA". Rfam says of the family: Transfer RNA (tRNA) molecules are approximately 80 nucleotides in length. Their secondary structure includes four short double-helical elements and three loops (D, anti-codon, and T loops). The record is from Rfam by way of RNAcentral. Lineage: Eukaryota; Metazoa; Cnidaria; Anthozoa; Malacalcyonacea; Plexauridae.
GCCUCUGAAGCUCAGUUGGUUAGAGCGCUGCACCGGAAUCGCAGGGCCGUAGGUUCAAUUCCUACCAGAGGAC